Molecule: long non-coding RNA, 617 nt
Organism: Saccostrea cuccullata (small rock oyster)
Lineage: Eukaryota; Metazoa; Mollusca; Bivalvia; Ostreida; Ostreidae
Exons: 3
Source: RefSeq, a predicted model, not a curated record
UUUUUUACAUCCAGAAAUAAGUUGCAUGUAUUUGCAAAGUUUGGUUCCCUCUUCCUAUUGAUCCUUGGAUUGAAGACAACUGUGAAGAGUUCUCUACCAGGUCAUUAGAAAGUCAGUUCUCCGUGUCCAGUUUAUCCCAGCAGACCACUAGAUCAAGGGAAAUAAACCGACUGAAUUACUGCCAGUCCGUAAACCAAGGACCUGUCCCUCGGCUAAAUCUAAACCCUCAGGAAAAUACGCACAGCAUUCACACAUUUAAUCUAUCAGCCAGGAGUUCACUAUCUGCAUAUUCUGAUGGGCUUUCCCAGGUGUCUAUAGAAUUAGAAUCAGCAUCUUUGUCACAGAUUUCUUUAGAAGACACAAAUAGUUCUAAUUAUCAUAGUGUAGAGGGACUGGAAGUUACAAAGGUCAAAGAUAUCCAUCAUGCCAAUGACGCGGGUGUAAAAUAUACAAUAAACAAUAUGGAAAACAAUGGUAGAUCAUCCAUAGAUUCUGGGGCAAUGAAUCAGACGGGAUCUACUAAUGACAGUCAUAACGGGGAUUCCAGUCGGGCCUCUCCACUCCGCGGAUUAUCUUCUGAUGAAGGAUCUGGAUGGAAAUCAGAAACAACAGAGAAC